UACGGGGGGAGCAAGCGUUGUUCGGAAUUACUGGGCGUAAAGAGCUCGUAGGCGGCUCGUUGCGUCGGCUGUGAAAACCCGCAGCUCAACUGUGGGCUUGCAGCUGAUACGGGCGGGCUGGAGUUCGGUAGGGGAGACUGGAAUUCCCGGUGUAGCGGUGAAAUGCGCAGAUAUCAGGAAGAACACCAAUGGCGAAAGCAGCUCUCUGGGACGGUACUGACGCUGAGACGCGAAAGCGUGGGGAGCGAACAGG
RNAcentral lists this ribosomal RNA (253 nucleotides) under uncultured bacterium. RNAcentral describes it as "partial 16S ribosomal RNA". It matches the Rfam family "Bacterial small subunit ribosomal RNA", at positions 524 to 776 of the family's 1533-position model. The record is from RNAcentral.